GGGUGGAUAAUACACUGUAAGAGAAAUUCCUUUCCUAUGUAAUGGAAAAUUUAGUUAUUAAUCUUUCUUUUGGGUUGGUACAUUUGGCUGACCCCUAGCACAUGGACUAACAUGAUGGACCUGGUACAUGAAUUACUUGAAUGAACUACCAAUGGACUACCUGAAAUUUAAACCCCUAAAAUUUCUAGCACAAAAGUUCUACAGUUAAGUUUGAGAAUCAGUUUGUCUGCGUAUGUUCCAAUCUUCUAUGAACAAUUUUUAAACGUCAUCGCUUCUGCAUGCAUUGCGUGUGCAUGGUUUAUUCUAAUGUGUUGAUUAAAUUUGUGUCACUCAGGACACAAGUGCUUGAUGGUGAAACAACUCAAACUGGAUCCUAAAGACCAAGAGCUCUCUUGGUUUUCAAUUGAUGGUGAGCCAUUUGAGGCAAAGUCAAUAACAAUCAGCCUUCUUCCAAACAAGCUUCACUUUUUCUUCAUUCCAAACAAGACUCAGCAUAGCUGAGACAAUAUAUUGUUGAUGGCAAAUCCAUGGGACAUGUGACAUUGAAUAAAGAACACAGAAUGACUGCCUUUUAACAAAGUUUAUUAUUAACUCAAAGUAAAUAGGUAUUUCUAAAAAAUACUAGAAUUAUUUCAUACUUUAGGUGGCAUUUAUCCAUUAUCCAAUGCACACCAUACAGUUUUUCAAAACAACGCAACUUACAUGUAUGAGAUAGUUGCAGAUUAUUUACUGCAAUUAAACUCAUUUGAUAAUAAAUAAAAUAAUGGAACCAAACAUGUCUAAAAUUUGCAUUCAUUUGAUGAAGUCAAUGGAUAAGUCUUAAUUUAAACUGUAGCACACUGUAGAUUGAGAUACCUUCAAUUUUUUUUGUAUAGCACUACAAAAACAGUGCUAAAAGAUAUUGAGGUACUAUUACAAGAUUACUUAAAAAAAAUUAACAGUGGCCCAGAGAUUUUCCAAAAGUGUAAUUACUACCAAGGAAAUGCAAGAUCAAAUGGCCAAAAUGAAGCCAUACAUUCCCAUUGAAACAUCCUGACAUUCCUAACAUUCAUUUUAAUAUAUGUUAAGUUUUGAAAAACCAACACUGUAUGACAUACUAGGUUGUAAAUAUAUUUAAAUAUUAUCAAUAUUUCCUUUGAUAGUAAUUUGUUGGAUAAAUUUACAGUUCUACAUGGAACCUAAGUUCCUGAUAAUUUCUUCCUGCAGUUUGAUCUUGCAUUUGGCUGGUGGUUUGCUGUUACAUGUUGCAUACCUUUCAUUUGUUCAUUUCAAUGCUUCUUUACAAGGACAAGACUACUAAAAGGCUA
This is a long non-coding RNA of Orbicella faveolata, 1307 nucleotides long. Lineage: Eukaryota; Metazoa; Cnidaria; Anthozoa; Scleractinia; Merulinidae. The record is from RefSeq and is a predicted model, not a curated record.